This 550-nucleotide ribosomal RNA is filed under the name Fusarium sp. B3. RNAcentral describes it as "eukaryotic LSU rRNA". The stretch from base 182 to 335 matches the Rfam family "5.8S ribosomal RNA". The record is from RNAcentral. Lineage: Eukaryota; Fungi; Ascomycota; Sordariomycetes; Hypocreales; Nectriaceae.
UUCCGUAGGGGAACCUGCGGAGGGAUCAUUACCGAGUUUACAACUCCCAAACCCCUGUGAACAUACCUUUAUGUUGCCUCGGCGGAUCAGCCCGCGCCCCGUAAAACGGGACGGCCCGCCGCAGGAAACCCUAAACUCUGUUUUUAGUGGAACUUCUGAGUAUAAAAAACAAAUAAAUCAAAACUUUCAACAACGGAUCUCUUGGUUCUGGCAUCGAUGAAGAACGCAGCAAAAUGCGAUAAGUAAUGUGAAUUGCAGAAUUCAGUGAAUCAUCGAAUCUUUGAACGCACAUUGCGCCCGCCAGUAUUCUGGCGGGCAUGCCUGUUCGAGCGUCAUUUCAACCCUCAAGCUCAGCUUGGUGUUGGGACUCGCGGUAACCCGCGUUCCCCAAAUCGAUUGGCGGUCACGUCGAGCUUCCAUAGCGUAGUAAUCAUACACCUCGUUACUGGUAAUCGUCGCGGCCACGCCGUAAAACCCCAACUUCUGAAUGUUGACCUCGGAUCAGGUAGGAAUACCCGCUGAACUUAAGCAUAUCAAAAGGCCGGAGGAA